AGAGUUUGAUCCUGGCUCAGGAUAAACGCUGGCGGCGCACAUAAGACAUGCAAGUCGAACGGACUUAACUCAUUCUUUUAGAUUGAGAGCGGUUAGUGGCGGACUGGUGAGUAACACGUAAGCAACCUGCCUAUCAGAGGGGAAUAACAGUGAGAAAUCAUUGCUAAUACCGCAUAAGCUAGUAGCAUCGCAUGAUGUAGCUAGAAAAGGAGCAAUCCGCUGAUAGAUGGGCUUGCGUCUGAUUAGCUAGUUGGUGGGGUAACGGCCUACCAAGGCGACGAUCAGUAGCCGGACUGAGAGGUUGAACGGCCACAUUGGGACUGAGAUACGGCCCAGACUCCUACGGGAGGCAGCAGUCGGGAAUAUUGCGCAAUGGAGGAAACUCUGACGCAGUGACGCCGCGUAUAGGAAGAAGGUUUUCGGAUUGUAAACUAUUGUCGUGAGGGAAGAAAUUGACAGUACCUCAGGAGGAAGCUCCGGCUAACUAUGUGCCAGCAGCCGCGGUAAUACAUAGGGAGCAAGCGUUAUCCGGAUUUAUUGGGUGUAAAGGGUGCGUAGACGGGAAAUUAAGUUAGUUGUGAAAUCCCUUGGCUUAACUGAGGAACUGCAACUAAAACUGGUUUUCUUGAGUACUGGAGAGGAAAGUGGAAUUCCUAGUGUAGCGGUGAAAUGCGUAGAUAUUCGGAGGAACACCAGUGGCGAAGGCGGCUUACUGGGCUCUAACUGACGCUGAGGCUCGAAAGUGUGGGGAGCAAACAGGAUUAGAUACCCUGGUAGUCCACACUGUAAACGAUGAUAGCUAGGUGUGGGGGGUCUGACCCCUUCCGUGCCGGAGUUAACGCAAUAAGCUAUCCACCUGGGGAGUACGACCGCAAGGUUGAAACUCAAAGGAAUUGACGGGGGCCCGCACAAGCAGUGGAUUAUGUGGUUUAAUUCGAAGCAACGCGAAGAACCUUACCAGGUCUUGACAUCCAACUAACGAGAUAGAGAUAUGUUAGGUGCCCUUCGGGGAAAGUUGAGACAGGUGGUGCAUGGUUGUCGUCAGCUCGUGUCGUGAGAUGUUGGGUUAAGUCCCGCAACGAGCGCAACCCCUGCCAUUAGUUGCUACGCAAGAGCACUCUAAUGGGACCGCUACCGACAAGGUGGAGGAAGGUGGGGACGACGUCAAAUCAUCAUGCCCCUUAUGACCUGGGCUACACACGUAAUACAAUGGCCGUUAACAGAGGGAAGCAAUACAGUGAUGUGGAGCAAAACCCUAAAAACGGUCUCAGUUCGGACUGUAGGCUGAAACCCGCCUACACGAAGUUGGAAUUGCUAGUAAUCGCGGAUCAGCAUGUCGCGGUGAAUACGUUCCCGGGCCUUGCACACACCGCCCGUCA
Molecule: ribosomal RNA, 1379 nt
Filed under: uncultured bacterium
Lineage: Bacteria
Description: bacterial SSU rRNA
Rfam family: Bacterial small subunit ribosomal RNA
Source: RNAcentral